GAUGAACGCUAGCGGCAGGCUUAAUACAUGCAAGUCGAACGGGAAUUGGGUAGCAAUACCUGAUGAUAGUGGCGCACGGGUGCGUAACGCGUAUGCAACCUACCUUUAACAGGGGGAUAGCCCGGAGAAAUUCGGAUUAAUACCCCAUAGUAUUAUGGAGAGGCAUCUUUUCAUGAUUAAAGUUCCGGCGGUUAAAGAUGGGCAUGCGUGCCAUUAGCUAGUUGGUGAGGUAACGGCUCACCAAGGCGACGAUGGUUAGGGGUCCUGAGAGGGUUAUCCCCCACACUGGUACUGAGACACGGACCAGACUCCUACGGGAGGCAGCAGUAAGGAAUAUUGGUCAAUGGGCGGAAGCCUGAACCAGCCAUGCCGCGUGCAGGAAGACGGCCUUAUGGGUUGUAAACUGCUUUUGUCAGGGAAUAAACCCUCGUUUGCGAACGAGGCUGAAGGUACCUGAAGAAUAAGCAUCGGCUAACCCGUG
Molecule: ribosomal RNA, 481 nt
Filed under: uncultured bacterium
Lineage: Bacteria
Description: bacterial SSU rRNA
Rfam family: Bacterial small subunit ribosomal RNA
Source: RNAcentral